AUUGAACGCUGGCGGCAGGCUUAACACAUGCAAGUCGAGCGGGCGAGGUUGCUUCGGUAACUGAGCUAGCGGCGGACGGGUGAGUAAUGCUUAGGAAUCUGCCUAUUAGUGGGGGACAACAUUCCGAAAGGAAUGCUAAUACCGCAUACGCCCUACGGGGGAAAGCAGGGGAUCUUCGGACCUUGCGCUAAUAGAUGAGUCUAAGUCAGAUUAGCUAGUUGGUGGGGUAAAGGCCUACCAAGGCGACGAUCUGUAGCGGGUCUGAGAGGAUGAUCCGCCACACUGGGACUGAAACACGGCCCAGACUCCUACGGGAGGCAGCAGUGGGGAAUAUUGGACAAUGGGCGAAAGCCUGAUCCAGCCACGCCGCGUGUGUGAAGAAGGCCUUUUGGUUGUAAAGCACUUUAAGCGAGGAGGAGGCUACUUGGAUUAAUACUCUAGGAUAGUGGACGUUACUCGCAGAAUAAGCACCGGCUAACUCUGUGCCAGCCGCCGCCGUAA
Molecule: ribosomal RNA, 501 nt
Filed under: uncultured bacterium
Lineage: Bacteria
Description: partial 16S ribosomal RNA
Rfam family: Bacterial small subunit ribosomal RNA
Source: RNAcentral